RNAcentral lists this ribosomal RNA (750 nucleotides) under uncultured bacterium. Its description in RNAcentral is "bacterial SSU rRNA". It matches the Rfam family "Bacterial small subunit ribosomal RNA", at positions 46 to 778 of the family's 1533-position model. The record is from RNAcentral.
GCCCAUUUUCAUGCAGGUCGAACGGUAACGCNGGGGAGAAGCUUGCUUCUCUCCGGCGACGAGUGGCGAACGGAUGACUUUACAUCGGAACGUGUCCGCUCGUGGGGGACAACCAGCCCAUAGGUUGGCUAAUACCGCAUGAGUUCUACGGAAGAAAGAGGGGGACCCGCAAGGGCCUCUCGCGAGCGGAGCGGCCGAUGACUGAUUAGCCGGUUGGUGAGGUAACGGCUCACCAAAGCAACGAUCAGUAGCUGGUCUGAGAGGACGACCAGCCACACUGGGACUGAGACACGGCCCAGACUCCUACGGGAGGCAGCAGUGGGGAAUUUUGGACAAUGGGCGCAAGCCUGAUCCAGCUAUUCCGCGUGUGGGAUGAAGGCCCUCGGGUUGUAAACCACUUUUGUAGAGAACGAAAAGACACCUUCGAAUAAAGGGUGUUGCUGACGGUACUCUAAGAGUAAGCACCGGCUAACUACGUGCCAGCAGCCGCGGUAAUACGUAGGGUGCGAGCGUUAAUCGGAAUUACUGGGCGUAAAGGGUGCGCAGGCGGUUGAGUAAGACAGAUGUGAAAUCCCCGAGCUUAACUCGGGAAUGGCAUAUGUGACUGCUCGACUAGAGUGUGUCAGAGGGAGGUGGAAUUCCACGUGUAGCAGUGAAAUGCGUAGAUAUGUGGAAGAACACCGAUGGCGAAGGCAGCCUCCUGGGACAUAACUGACGCUCAGGCACGAAAGCGUGGGGAGCAAACAGGAU